AGCGGUGAAAUGCGUAGAGAUCUGAAGGAAUACCGGUGGCGAAGGCGGCCCCCUGGACAGAUACUGACACUCAGAUGCGAAAGCGUGGGGAGCAAACAGGAUUAGAUACCCUGGUAGUCCACGCCGUAAACGAUGUCUACUUGGAGGUUGUGGCCUUGAGCCGUGGCUUUCGGAGCUAACGCGUUAAGUAGACCGCCUGGGGAG
This 204-nucleotide ribosomal RNA is filed under the name Vibrio parahaemolyticus. RNAcentral describes it as "partial 16S ribosomal RNA". It matches the Rfam family "Bacterial small subunit ribosomal RNA", at positions 677 to 880 of the family's 1533-position model. Lineage: Bacteria; Pseudomonadati; Pseudomonadota; Gammaproteobacteria; Vibrionales; Vibrionaceae. The record is from RNAcentral.